CAACAGUUUAAUGAAAAGGAAAUUCAAGUGGUCUCUUAUCCUAAUAAGCUUUUUGCUGAUAUGAAAAAUGAGCCACUGUCUGAUGCUAGUGUACCAAAUAUGGAUGUGGUUAUUAAUGUUCCGGUCUCAGGAGGCAUCAGUCUAAUGCCCUCUUCUCUUAGUCAAGUAGACACCUCUGUUUUUCAACAAUUGCCUGAGGAGUUUCUCGCAAAGUUGAAAUAGUUGCUAGAUACUCCUAAUGAACAACUCUGGCCUGGGGUGAGCAAAUUAGUUAACUGGCACGAAUACCUCCAAUGGAAACCACAAUCACUCUCAACUGUUGUACCUGGUCUAGCUGAAGAUGGACAUAAUUAUGUGUUUAGAUGUUGCUAUAUUUGGUAUUGUGGAUGUUUAGAUUUUGCUAUCUAUAUAUAUGGGUUCUUUUAUAUGAAUGUUGGAUAUUUUAAGAAGA
Molecule: long non-coding RNA, 451 nt
Organism: Capsicum annuum
Lineage: Eukaryota; Viridiplantae; Streptophyta; Magnoliopsida; Solanales; Solanaceae
Exons: 2
Source: RefSeq, a predicted model, not a curated record